RNAcentral lists this ribosomal RNA (683 nucleotides) under uncultured archaeon. RNAcentral describes it as "bacterial SSU rRNA". It matches the Rfam family "Archaeal small subunit ribosomal RNA", at positions 176 to 859 of the family's 1478-position model. The record is from RNAcentral.
UGGUUUUUUGUUUAAAUGUUUUUUCGCCUAAGGAUGAGUCUGCGGCCGAUUAGGUAGUUGGUUAGGUAAUGGCUUACCAAGCCGUUGAUCGGUACGGGUUGUGAGAGCAAGAGCCCGGAGAUGGAACCUGAGACAAGGUUCCAGGCCCUACGGGGUGCAGCAGGCGCGAAACCUCCGCAAUGUGAGAAAUCGCGACGGGGGGAUCCCAAGUGCCAUUCUUAACGGGAUGGCUUUUCAUUAGUGUAAAGAGCUUUUGGAAUAAGGGCUGGGCAAGACCGGUGCCAGCCGCCGCGGUAACACCGGCAGCUCUAGUGGUAACAAUUUUUAUUGGGCCUAAAGCGUCCGUAGCCGGUUUAAUAAGUCUCUGGUGAAAUCCUGUAGCUUAACUGUGGGAAUUGCUGGAGAUACUAUUAGACUUGAGACCGGGAGAGGUUAGAGGUACUCCCAGGGUAGAGGUGAAAUUCUGUAAUCCUGGGAGGACCGCCUGUUGCGAAGGCGUCUAACUGGAACGGUUCUGACGGUGAGGGACGAAAGUUAGGGGCGCGAACCGGAUUAGAUACCCGGGUAGUCCUAACUGUAAACGAUGCGGACUUGGUGUUGGGGUGGCUUUGAGCUGCUCCAGUGCCGAAGGGAAGCUGUUAAGUCCGCCGCCUGGGAAGUACGGUCGCAAGACUGAAACUUAA